UUGGAGGGCAAGUCUGGUGCCAGCAGCCGCGGUAAUUCCAGCUCCAAUAGCGUAUAUUAAAGUUGUUGCAGUUAAAAAGCUCGUAGUUGAAUUUCGGGGUUAGUAAGUUGGUCAUGCCUCCGGUAUGCACUGGCUUUACUGAUUCCUCCUUCUUGAUGAACUGUAAUGUCAUUAAUUUGGUGUUGCAGGGAAUCAGGACUGUUACUUUGAAAAAAUUAGAGUGUUUAAAGCAGGCAUACGCUUGAAUACAUUAGCAUGGAAUAAUGAAAUAGGACGUUGAUCCUAUUUUGUUGGUUUCUAGGAUUGACGUAAUGAUUAAUAGGGAUAGUUGGGGGCAUUAGUAUUCAAUUGUCAGAGGUGAAAUUCUUGGAUUUAUUGAAGACUAACUACUGCGAAAGCAUUUGCCAAGGAUGUUUUCAUUAAUCAAGAACGAAAGUUAGGGGAUCGAAGACGAUCAGAUACCGUCGUAGUCUUAACCAUAAACUAUGCCGACUAGGGAUCGGAUGAUGUUAUUUUUAAUGACUCAUUCGGCGCCUUACGGGAAAC
Molecule: ribosomal RNA, 546 nt
Filed under: uncultured Glomus
Lineage: Eukaryota; Fungi; Glomeromycota; Glomeromycetes; Glomerales; Glomeraceae
Description: SSU rRNA
Rfam family: Eukaryotic small subunit ribosomal RNA
Source: RNAcentral